GGGCCCAUAGCUCAGCUGGUAGAGCGCUUCCAUGGCAUGGAAGAGGUCAGCGGUUCGAGCCCGCUUGGGUCCA
Molecule: transfer RNA, 73 nt
Filed under: Minisyncoccota bacterium
Lineage: Bacteria; Bacillati; Minisyncoccota
Description: tRNA-Ala
Rfam family: tRNA
About the family: Transfer RNA (tRNA) molecules are approximately 80 nucleotides in length.
Source: RNAcentral